GUAAGGAAUAUUGGACAAUGGACGCAAGUCUGAUCCAGCCAUGCCGCGUGAAGGAUUAAGGUCCUCUGGAUUGUAAACUUCUUUUAUAAGGGACGAAAAAAGGCUUUUCUAAGUCGUCUGACGGUACCUUAUGAAUAAGCACCGGCUAACUCCGUGCCAGCAGCCGCGGUAAUACGGAGGGUGCAAGCGUUAUCCGGAUUCACUGGGUUUAAAGGGUGCGUAGGCGGACAGGUAAGUCAGUGGUGAAAUCCUAGAGCUUAACUCUAGAACUGCCAUUGAUACUAUCUGUCUUGAAUAUUGUGGAAGUAAGCGGAAUAUGUCAUGUAGCGGUGAAAUGCUUAGAUAUGACAUAGAACACCUAUUGCGAAGGCAGCUUACUACGCAUAUAUUGACGCUGAGGCACGAAAGCGUGGGGAUCAAACAGGAUUAGAUACCCGAGUAGUCC
This 445-nucleotide ribosomal RNA is filed under the name uncultured bacterium. RNAcentral's name for it is "bacterial SSU rRNA". It matches the Rfam family "Bacterial small subunit ribosomal RNA", at positions 354 to 796 of the family's 1533-position model. The record is from RNAcentral.